RNAcentral lists this ribosomal RNA (603 nucleotides) under fungal endophyte. RNAcentral describes it as "eukaryotic LSU rRNA". The stretch from base 152 to 305 matches the Rfam family "5.8S ribosomal RNA". Lineage: Eukaryota; Fungi. The record is from RNAcentral.
UGUGAACAUACCUAACGUUGCCUCGGCAGGUCGCACCUACCUUGUAGCACCCUACCCUGUAGGGCCUACCCGGGAGGUGCGGGUAAGCCUGCCGGCGGCCCACCAAACUCUGUUUGAUAUUGAAUUCUGAACCUAUAACUAAAUAAGUUAAAACUUUCAACAACGGAUCUCUUGGUUCUGGCAUCGAUGAAGAACGCAGCGAAAUGCGAUAAGUAAUGUGAAUUGCAGAAUUCAGUGAAUCAUCGAAUCUUUGAACGCAUAUUGCGCCCAUUAGUAUUCUAGUGGGCAGGACCGUUCGAGCGUCAUUUCAACCCUUAAGCCUUCGUUGCUUAGUGUUGGGAGCCUACGGCAACGUAGCUCCUCAAAGUUAGUGGCGGAGUUGGUUCACACUCUAGACGUAGUAAUUUUUUAUCUCGCCUAUUAGUUGGACUAAUCCCCUGCCGUAAAACCCCCAAUUUAUCAAGGUUGACCUCGAAUCGGUUCAGACAAACUCGCUAAAUUGAAGCAUCUUAGUCAGCGAAGGAAAAGAAACCAACAGGGAUUGCCCUAGUAACGGCGAGUGAAGCGGCAACAGCUCAAAUUUGAAAUCUGGCCCUCGGGUCC